This 234-nucleotide long non-coding RNA is filed under the name Zonotrichia albicollis (white-throated sparrow). Its description in RNAcentral is "lncRNA (ENSZALG00000008712.1)". The record is from RNAcentral. Lineage: Eukaryota; Metazoa; Chordata; Aves; Passeriformes; Passerellidae.
AUGCACAGAGGCAGAGCUGGCCAUUGUACAGACAUGGGUGCCAAAAUGAUGAAAACAACAGGUGAAGGUGGUCUCCGCAUGGGAACAGACAAGAGAAAGUCUGAAUUACGUGGUUCUGCUCACAUAUCCAGGGGUGGUUUCUCAAGGCAUGUCUUCAUUGGAGAGCCUCUUCUACCCAGUGCAAGGCCUGCAGGAGCCCUGGGUUGGGCAUCCAAACCUCACACAAGAUCCUGA